AUUGAACGCUGGCGGCAGGCCUAACACAUGCAAGUCGAGCGGGGUUUUCGGACCUAGCGGCGGACGGGUGAGUAAUGCGUAGGAAGCUACCCGAUAGAGGGGGAUACCAGUUGGAAACGACUGUUAAUACCGCAUAAUGUCUACGGACCAAAGUGUGGGACCUUCGGGCCACAUGCUAUCGGAUGCGCCUACGUGGGAUUAGCUAGUUGGUGGGGUAAUGGCUCACCAAGGCGACGAUCCCUAGCUGGUUUGAGAGGAUGAUCAGCCACACUGGAACUGAGACACGGUCCAGACUCCUACGGGAGGCAGCAGUGGGGAAUAUUGGACAAUGGGCGAAAGCCUGAUCCAGCCAUGCCGCGUGUGUGAAGAAGGUCUUCGGAUUGUAAAGCACUUUAAAGUUGGGAGGAAGGGCAGUAAGUUAAUACCUUGCUGUUUUGACGUUACCAACAGAAUAAGCACCGGCUAACUUCGUGCCAGCAGCCGCGGUAAU
This 490-nucleotide ribosomal RNA is filed under the name uncultured bacterium. RNAcentral describes it as "bacterial SSU rRNA". It matches the Rfam family "Bacterial small subunit ribosomal RNA", at positions 30 to 524 of the family's 1533-position model. The record is from RNAcentral.